GAAUAAUACAACAUAUAAAUUAUUUAAUAACAUGAAGUCCAAAUUAGAUAAACUAGAUAAAUCCAAUCUAGUGUAUGGAAUUAAAUGUAAUGGUGACGAAACCAACAUAUGCCAAAAGGUAUAUGUUGGUACAACGAAAACAAAACUGAGGACAAGAUUAUCAUCGCACAAAUCAGAUUUAAGAACACUUGACAAACCAUUAAAUCAAAAAACAGCCCUCGCUGCCCACUGUACAAUAACUGGACACCAACCAGACUUUGAAAAAGUGAGAAUAUUAGCUGGAGAGAACAAUCACACAAAACGUUACUUACAAGAGAUGCUCCACAUUAUAAAUACACCAACAGAAAAGAGAAUAAAUUACAAAACAGAUACUGACAACUGCGCUCACAUUUAUCGACAUACAAUAAAUAAAUACAGAAACAAUAAACAAAAGAAUAAAAUCCAAACAGUCAGUCAUAGAAGAUCAAAACAUAAACAACAGACGACACUGCAUUAAAAUUAAAUAACUUUCCCUGAAGAUGACCAACGAAGUUGGUCGAAAUAUUGGAAACCACAAUAAAUAUUAAUUAAACUAAGAACAAAAAAGAGUUUUUAA
Long non-coding RNA from Lucilia cuprina (Australian sheep blowfly), 595 nucleotides. RefSeq lists it as uncharacterized. Lineage: Eukaryota; Metazoa; Arthropoda; Insecta; Diptera; Calliphoridae. The record is from RefSeq and is a predicted model, not a curated record. The transcript is spliced from 2 exons.